RNAcentral lists this ribosomal RNA (382 nucleotides) under Proteus vulgaris. RNAcentral describes it as "bacterial SSU rRNA". It matches the Rfam family "Bacterial small subunit ribosomal RNA", at positions 964 to 1345 of the family's 1533-position model. Lineage: Bacteria; Pseudomonadati; Pseudomonadota; Gammaproteobacteria; Enterobacterales; Morganellaceae. The record is from RNAcentral.
AAGAACCUUACCUACUCUUGACAUCCAGCGAAUCCUUUAGAGAUAGAGGAGUGCCUUCGGGAACGCUGAGACAGGUGCUGCAUGGCUGUCGUCAGCUCGUGUUGUGAAAUGUUGGGUUAAGUCCCGCAACGAGCGCAACCCUUAUCCUUUGUUGCCAGCGCGUAAUGGCGGGAACUCAAAGGAGACUGCCGGUGAUAAACCGGAGGAAGGUGGGGAUGACGUCAAGUCAUCAUGGCCCUUACGAGUAGGGCUACACACGUGCUACAAUGGCAGAUACAAAGAGAAGCGACCUCGCGAGAGCAAGCGGAACUCAUAAAGUCUGUCGUAGUCCGGAUUGGAGUCUGCAACUCGACUCCAUGAAGUCGGAAUCGCUAGUAAUCGU